Molecule: ribosomal RNA, 401 nt
Filed under: uncultured bacterium
Lineage: Bacteria
Description: bacterial SSU rRNA
Rfam family: Bacterial small subunit ribosomal RNA
Source: RNAcentral
GGGGAAUCUUGCACAAUGGGGGCAACCCUGAUGCAGCGACGCCGCGUGAGCGAUGAAGCCCUUCGGGGCGUAAAGCUCUUUCGACCGGAACGAUAAUGACGGUACCGGGAGAAGAAGCUGCGGCUAACUACGUGCCAGCAGCCGCGGUAAUACGUAGGCAGCAAGCGUUGUUCGGAUUCACUGGGUUUAAGGGGUGCGUAGGCGGAUAUGUAAGUCAGUGGUGAAAUCAACGGGCUCAACCUGUUAACUGCCAUUGAUACUGUGUAUCUUGAAUAUGAGAGAGGUAGGCGGAAUGUUGCAUGUAGCGGUGAAAUGCUUAGAUAUGCUACGGAACACCGAUUGCGAAGGCAGCUUACUAUUUCGUAAUUGACGCUGAGGCACGAAAGCGUGGGUAGCGAACA